This 1186-nucleotide ribosomal RNA is filed under the name Gymnogyps californianus (California condor). RNAcentral describes it as "partial 16S ribosomal RNA". It matches the Rfam family "Bacterial large subunit ribosomal RNA", at positions 967 to 2925 of the family's 2925-position model. Lineage: Eukaryota; Metazoa; Chordata; Aves; Accipitriformes; Cathartidae. The record is from RNAcentral.
ACGAAGCAGAUCAAGAGUAAUUCAAAGGGGGUACAGCUCCUUUGAAAAAGGAUACAACCUCCCCUAGCGGAUAACCACCCAAUACCUCUAGAACUGUAGGCCCUAAAGCAGCCAUCAACAAAAAGUGCGUCAAAGCUUCCCACACAAAAAUCCACAAAACAAUGUGACUCCCUUCCCACUAACAGGCUAACCUAUACCGAUAGAAGGAUCAAUGCUAAAAUGAGUAACCAGGGAACCCCCUCUUAAGCGCAACGUUACAUCACCAUAUUAUUAACAGACUAACUGAUAUACCAAAUCUAACAAGAUUGAGUAUCAAAUCUACCCUGUUAACCCAACCCAGGAGCGCCUACUAGAAAGAUUAAAAUCUGUAAAAGGAACUAGGCAAACCCAAGGCCCGACUGUUUACCAAAAACAUAGCCUUCAGCGAGCCAAGUAUUGAAGGUGAUGCCUGCCCAGUGACACCACGUUCAACGGCCGCGGUAUCCUAACCGUGCGAAGGUAGCGCAAUCAAUUGUCCCAUAAAUCGAGACUUGUAUGAAUGGCUAAACGAGGUCUUAACUGUCUCUUACAGAUAAUCAGUGAAAUUGAUCUCCCUGUGCAAAAGCAGGGAUAAGCACAUAAGACGAGAAGACCCUGUGGAACUUAAAAAUCAGCGGCCACCACAAACACACCUGCCACCUAUUAGGCUCACUACACCUACAAAUGCUGGCCCGCCUUUUUUGGUUGGGGCGACCUUGGAGAAAAACAAAUCCUCCAAAAAUAAGACCACCCCUCUUGACCAAGAGCAACCACUCAACGUACUAAUAGUAACCAGACCCAAUAUAAUUGAUAAAUGGACCAAGCUACCCCAGGGAUAACAGCGCAAUCUCCCCCAAGAGCCCAUAUCGACAGGGAGGUUUACGACCUCGAUGUUGGAUCAGGACACCCUAAUGGUGCAGCCGCUAUUAAGGGUUCGUUUGUUCAACGAUUAAUAGUCCUACGUGAUCUGAGUUCAGACCGGAGCGAUCCAGGUCGGUUUCUAUCUAUGAUUAGGCCUUCUCUAGUACGAAAGGACCGAGAAAGCAGGGCCAAUACUAUCAAGCACGCCCUACCUCUAAGUAAUGAUCUCAACUAAAUUACCUAAGAGGCUUCCUACACCCUAACAUCCUAGAAAAGGAUUGCUAGCGUGGCAGACCGGCAAAUGCAA